This 77-nucleotide transfer RNA is filed under the name Nitrospiraceae bacterium. Its description in RNAcentral is "tRNA-Arg". It matches the Rfam family "tRNA". From Rfam's summary of the family: Transfer RNA (tRNA) molecules are approximately 80 nucleotides in length. The record is from RNAcentral. RNAcentral also lists the same sequence under 1 other name. Lineage: Bacteria; Pseudomonadati; Nitrospirota; Nitrospiria; Nitrospirales; Nitrospiraceae.
GCGCCCUUAGCUCAGAUGGAUAGAGCGUCGGACUACGAAUCCGCAGGUCGGGGGUUCGACUCCCUCAGGGCGCGCCA